CGAGCGAAGUUUUCUGGUGCUUGCACUAGAAAAACUUAGCGGCGAACGGGUGAGUAACACGUAAAGAACCUGCCUCAUAGACGGGGACAACUAUUGGAAACGAUAGCUAAUACCGGAUAACAGCAUAAAUCGCAUGAUAUAUGUUUAAAAGUUGGUUUCGGCUAACACUAUGAGAUGGCUUUGCGGUGCAUUAGCUAGUUGGUGGGGUAAAGGCCUACCAAGGCGACGAUGCAUAGCCGACCUGAGAGGGUGAUCGGCCACACUGGGACUGAGACACGGCCCAGACUCCUACGGGAGGCAGCAGUAGGGAAUCUUCCGCAAUGGGCGAAAGCCUGACGGAGCAACGCCGCGUGAGUGAAGAAGGAUUUCGGUUCGUAAAGCUCUGUUGUUAGGGAAGAAUGAUUGUAUAGUAACUAUAUACAGUAGAGACGGUACCUAACCAGAAAGCCACGGCUAACUACGUGCCAGCAGCCGCGGUAAUACGUAGGUGGCAAGCGUUGUCCGGAAUUAUUGGGCGUAAAGCGCGCGCAGGUGGUUUAAUAAGUCUGAUGUGAAAGCCCACGGCUCAACCGUGGAGGGUCAUUGGAAACUGUUAAACUUGAGUGCAGGAGAGAAAAGUGGAAUUCCUAGUGUAGCGGUGAAAUGCGUAGAGAUUAGGAGGAACACCAGUGGCGAAGGCGGCUUUUUGGCCUGUAACUGACACUGAG
RNAcentral lists this ribosomal RNA (707 nucleotides) under uncultured Bacilli bacterium. RNAcentral's name for it is "bacterial SSU rRNA". It matches the Rfam family "Bacterial small subunit ribosomal RNA", at positions 63 to 750 of the family's 1533-position model. Lineage: Bacteria; Bacillati; Bacillota; Bacilli. The record is from RNAcentral.